This 562-nucleotide ribosomal RNA is filed under the name uncultured organism. RNAcentral describes it as "bacterial SSU rRNA". It matches the Rfam family "Bacterial small subunit ribosomal RNA", at positions 9 to 572 of the family's 1533-position model. The record is from RNAcentral.
GAGUUUGAUCAUGGCUCAGGAUGAACGCUAGCGGCAGGCCUAAUACAUGCAAGUCGAACGAGAUUAGUAGCAAUACUAUGAAAGUGGCGCACGGGUGCGUAACACGUAUGCAAUCUACCUUUAAUUGGAGGAUAGCCUCGAGAAAUCGGGAUUAAUACUCCAUAACAUUAUGAAAUGGCAUCAUUUUAUAAUUAAACCUCCGGGGAUUAAAGAUGAGCAUGCGCAACAUUAGCUAGUUGGUAAGGUAAUGGCUUACCAAGGCUACGAUGUUUAGGGGGUCUGAGAGGAUGAUCCCCCACACUGGUACUGAGACACGGACCAGACUCCUACGGGAGGCAGCAGUAGGGAAUAUUGGGCAAUGGAGGCAACUCUGACCCAGCCAUGCCGCGUGCAGGAUGACGGCCCUCUGGGUUGUAAACUGCUUUUAUACGGGAAGAAAAAAUGCUACGUGUAGCACAUUGACGGUACCGUAAGAAUAAGGAUCGGCUAACUCCGUGCCAGCAGCCGCGGUAAUACGGAGGAUCCAAGCGUUGUCCGGAUUUAUUGGGUUUAAAGGGUGCGU